CAAUAGCGUAUAUUAAAGCUGUUGCGGUUAAAAAGCUCGUAGUUGGACCUUGGGCCUGGACGGGCGGUCCGCCUCACGGCGUGUACUGUCUUGCCGGGCCUUUCCUCUUGGUGAUCUGUUGUUUCGGCAGCAGGGAACCAGGACCUUUACUUUGAAAAAAUUAGAGUGUUCAAAGCAGGCUCGACGCCGGAAUAUAUUAGCAUGGAAUAAUAAAAUAGGACGUGCGGUUCUAUUUUGUUGGUUUUUGGAAUCGCCGUAAUGAUUAAUAGGGACAGUCGGGGGCAUUAGUACUCACAUGCUAGAGGUGAAAUUCUUGGAUUUUGUGAAGACUAACUCCUGCGAAAGCAUUUGCCAAGGAUGUUUUCAUUAA
RNAcentral lists this ribosomal RNA (370 nucleotides) under uncultured eukaryote. RNAcentral's name for it is "partial 18S ribosomal RNA". It matches the Rfam family "Eukaryotic small subunit ribosomal RNA", at positions 592 to 976 of the family's 1831-position model. The record is from RNAcentral.